GACGUAGGGCGCGAGCGUUGUCCGGAAUUAUUGGGCGUAAAGCGUGCGCAGGCGGUGAUGUAAGACCGAUGUGAAAUCCCCGGGCUUAACCUGGGAACUGCAUUGGUGACUGCAUUGCUAGAGUAUGGCAGAGGGGGGGUGGAAUUCCACGUGUAGCAGUGAAAUGCGUAGAGAUGUGGAGGAACACCGAUGGCGAAGGCAGCCCCCUGGGCCAAUACUGACGCUCAUGCACGAAAGCGUGGGGAGCAAACAGG
RNAcentral lists this ribosomal RNA (254 nucleotides) under uncultured bacterium. Its description in RNAcentral is "partial 16S ribosomal RNA". It matches the Rfam family "Bacterial small subunit ribosomal RNA", at positions 524 to 776 of the family's 1533-position model. The record is from RNAcentral.